GACGAACGCUGGCGGCGUGCUUAACACAUGCAAGUCGAACGGUGAAGCGCCUUCCUUUUUGGUGGGUGUGGAUGAGUGGCGAACGGGUGAGUAACACGUGAGUAACCUGCCCCCUUCUUCUGGAUAACCGCAUGAAAGUGUGGCUAAUACGGGAUAUUCUGGGUCUGUCGCAUGAUGGGUCUGGGAAAGAUAUUGUUUCGGUGGGGGAUGGGCUCGCGGCCUAUCAGCUUGUUGGUGGGGUGAUGGCCUACCAAGGCGGUGACGGGUAGCCGGCCUGAGAGGGUGGACGGUCACACUGGGACGGAGACACGGCGCAGACUCCUACGGGAGGCAGCAGUGGGGAAUAUUGCACAAUGGGCGCAAGCCUGAUGCAGCGACGCCGCGUGAGGGAUGGAGGCCUUCGGGUUGUGAACCUCUUUCGCCAGUGAAGCAGGCCUGCCUCGUUUGUGGGUGGGUUGACGGUAGCUGGAUAAGAAGCGCCGGCUAACUACGUG
This 494-nucleotide ribosomal RNA is filed under the name uncultured bacterium. RNAcentral's name for it is "partial 16S ribosomal RNA". It matches the Rfam family "Bacterial small subunit ribosomal RNA", at positions 28 to 507 of the family's 1533-position model. The record is from RNAcentral.